RNAcentral lists this transfer RNA (73 nucleotides) under Bacteriophage sp. RNAcentral's name for it is "tRNA-Asn". It matches the Rfam family "tRNA". Rfam says of the family: Transfer RNA (tRNA) molecules are approximately 80 nucleotides in length. Their secondary structure includes four short double-helical elements and three loops (D, anti-codon, and T loops). The record is from RNAcentral.
ACUCAUGUAGCUCAGCUGGUAGAGCAAACGGCUGUUAACCGUUGGGUCGUAGGUCCGAAUCCUAUCGUGAGUG